CCGUGCAGGUGGGGGGCUAGCGGUCCCCUGUAUCCACAACCCGCUCUAGGUGGAGCCCAUGGGCCUCCCGAGAGGAAGGGGAGACGGAAGCGGACGGGGACACCCGGGCGAUGACGGUCGAGCCCCCUGCGACGCACACCGGUGAACCCCGCUAGGCCCGGAAGGGAGCAACGGUAAGCCGGUCCCUGCGGGUGAUAGGGGAUCCCUUGGCCUGAGCCCGGACCCCCGGAGCGCCCGGCGAACCGGCCCCGACGGAGGCCCGCACGG
RNAcentral lists this signal recognition particle RNA (267 nucleotides) under Candidatus Bipolaricaulota bacterium. Its description in RNAcentral is "signal recognition particle sRNA large type". It matches the Rfam family "Bacterial large signal recognition particle RNA". From Rfam's summary of the family: The signal recognition particle (SRP) is a universally conserved ribonucleoprotein involved in the co-translational targeting of proteins to membranes. Archaeal SRP consists of a 7S RNA and homologues of the eukaryotic SRP19 and SRP54 proteins. Lineage: Bacteria; Candidatus Bipolaricaulota. The record is from RNAcentral.